CACGGGUAUGUAUUGUAGCAGGGUAAUCAUUUACGUAUCCGAGAAUAUUUGCAUAUCCGACGCAGUGAAAUAUGUAAAUCAAUGAAUGUAUUAAAAUGGACCAAACCAGCUACAAAAAACCCCGCAAAUAUAUGGUCUGAUAAUUGGUCUAAUAAUGUUUUUCUUUGAUGAUAUCCCAUCAACUCUACUGUCUGUAAACCUUCUACAUCAGUUAAAUUGAUUAAUUCAGUAAAAUAUACCCAUAAGAACAUUAUAAUGUACCCCCC
Non-coding RNA from Paramuricea clavata, 266 nucleotides. Lineage: Eukaryota; Metazoa; Cnidaria; Anthozoa; Malacalcyonacea; Plexauridae. The record is from the annotation of a GenBank genome assembly.